This 389-nucleotide ribosomal RNA is filed under the name Ptyodactylus guttatus (Sinai fan-fingered gecko). Its description in RNAcentral is "partial 12S ribosomal RNA". It matches the Rfam family "Bacterial small subunit ribosomal RNA", at positions 832 to 1382 of the family's 1533-position model. The record is from RNAcentral. Lineage: Eukaryota; Metazoa; Chordata; Lepidosauria; Squamata; Phyllodactylidae.
UUAAUCGUCACCACAUGCAGUCACCAUAAACCACUGCACGCCAGAGAAGUACAAGCGAAAAGCUAGAAACUCAAAGGACUUGGCGGUGUCCCAUAUCAACCUAGAGGAGCCUGUCCCGUAAUCGAUACUCCACGUUAAACCCAACCUGCAUUCGCCUGCCAGCCUAUAUACCGCCGUCGCCAGCCUGCCUAAUGAUAGUCACAACGCAGGCAAAAGAGGCCCUCCUCCUAAUACGUCAGGUCAAGGUGUAGCUAAUAUACAGGUCACAGAUGGGCUACAUUUUNCUUAAUACAANGAAAACCACCGCAUGCACCAUGAAACACAGGCCGAAAGGCGGAUUUAGUAGUAAGUCGGACAAGAAAGUCCAGCUGAAACUUGCUCUGGGACAC